Alnus glutinosa is the source of this 815-nucleotide long non-coding RNA. RefSeq lists it as uncharacterized. The record is from RefSeq and is a predicted model, not a curated record. Lineage: Eukaryota; Viridiplantae; Streptophyta; Magnoliopsida; Fagales; Betulaceae. The transcript is spliced from 3 exons.
CCUCUCUUCUUCUUUCUUCCUGAGCACGCAGACACACACAGAGGGAGAAACAAAGAGUGAGCGAGAGAGAGAGGGGGGGAGAGAGAUGCCGAUAGGGAGAGACAGAGAGAUGAGACCGAGAGAUCGGGAGAGGAGAGUGGGAACUGAGAGAGAGAGAGAGAGAAAACCCGGAAAGGACCCAGUGAGCCGUGAGCCGUGAGCCCAGGGAGGUCCGAUCCUCCAUGUCCGGUGGUCAGGGGGAAAUCCGGAGGACCAGUGGCGGUUUCCGACGAAACCGUAACCCCGAACCCACCAAGCCAUGACCCAGUGACCGAGAACCCGUGAAGCCGACCUUCAGUGGCGAUGUCCGGCGCGUUUUCCGGCGGGACAGGUGUUUCUCCGGCCGAACCUCCGAAGACCCACGACCCGUGCAACCUGUGCGACCCGCAACCCAGAACCUACGAACCUGUGACCCGCUGAACCCGAGAGGAAACCCGGUUCGCCAUGGGUGUUUUCCGGCGGUUUGGAGGUGUGGAUUCCGGCGAUUUUUCCGGUGGUCAGUGAUGUUUUUCCGGCGACCCGAGUCCGUUUUCCGGCAAAAUCAGAGAUGAUUUUCGGUAAAAAGUCGAUCCUGACGCUAAUGGCAAGUCCAGAUGACAACCGUAAGACGAAAUCUUUUUCUUGUAAGGGCGUAGACCUCGCUGAGAGCGAUAGUUCGUGAUGAACCAGCCAAACCCUAAUAUUGUAUAGUAUGAUUUGUUCCUUUUGGAGUUCAUGAUUUUGUAUAGAUUAUUAAUAGAAAGGUUUAAUAUGAGUUUUAAAUUUAUUUGUUGUAA